AUGUUUGACAAGACUCAUGUGACGGUUGCAACUUCUGCGAUCCUAGGUGAGCAUAUAGAAGACCCCACUGAUCUCUUUGAGGUUGAGGAUGGCAACAAUGAUCUGGAAAGCAACAAGGCACCUGGCCAGAAAACAAAGGAAGUUGAAAAGCAGAGGGCCGCUGCCAUUGCUGCUAGUCCAAAGAAGAAACGGAAGCAACAAAAGGCCGAGGCAUAUGGCAAACAUAAUGGCUGCCUGGCUGGUAGCACUUCGGUGACAUCUUCUACUGAUGUUCCAAGAGGCCAUGGGAUUAAAGACGUCAUCAAGUUGGCUGGGCAAUCUGGGGCGAAGGAAUGCAGCGAUCUGUUCUUCACGGUCACCAAGCUUUUCAUGAAUGUGGAUUAUAGAGAGAUGUUUAGUGCUUUGGAGACCAAUGAAGGAAGGCUCAAUUGGCUGAACAUGAUGCAUGAAUAG
This 453-nucleotide ribosomal RNA is filed under the name Triticum aestivum (bread wheat). RNAcentral describes it as "partial small subunit ribosomal RNA". Lineage: Eukaryota; Viridiplantae; Streptophyta; Magnoliopsida; Poales; Poaceae. The record is from RNAcentral.